Molecule: long non-coding RNA, 1435 nt
Organism: Eucalyptus grandis
Lineage: Eukaryota; Viridiplantae; Streptophyta; Magnoliopsida; Myrtales; Myrtaceae
Exons: 8
Source: RefSeq, a predicted model, not a curated record
AAAAUUUUGAAUCCCAAAUUCUCUCCGCGAUCGUUACGGCUCCGCCGUGCAUCAAGCGGCGCCUAACCCCGCCGUCCCGACGAACCACACUACUGCCGCCCCUGCACUGGCGCUCGCUCGCUUCUCUCUUCGUGCUCGUUGCUACGUUUGUUCCGGCGUUCGUGAUGUGGCCGUUCCCCGCCUGAGCCGACGAAGGAGGUGUCCGCUCCGACGCUGUCCACCUUGGAUCAUACGUCCGUGGUGUCCUUGAACCUGUUCGUGGCGCUCCUCCUUGCUUGCAUUGUGAUCGGUCAUCUCUUGAAAUAGAACCGGUGGAUGAAUGAGUCCAUUACUGCUCUGAUGAUCUUUGUUGAAGAAGAAAAGGACCAGGAUAUAUGUUAUGAUGAUGAAGAAGAUAGUGCUGGAAUGGAUGAAACAAUCAUGAGUGAUGUUGACUCUUUGCAUCUGCUGGAUAAGCCAGGGCACAUUGUAGAAGGAAAUGAGGAGGAAAUCAAAGAAAAUAGACAAAGAUGUGAAGGAUAACUCAGCAAACCUUGUUGUGAGGCACACUUCAAUGAGACAACGAUGAUGAAUAAGCUUUGAAAGAUGCCAGCUAUCUGCAAAAUGAACUCAUCUCUCUAUGUUCUCCUUUAAAAUCCCAUUUAAUGGCGUCUGAUGGAAUGGCUAAUUCAAGAUGAAAGUGAAGAGAAUGCGAAUGAUGCUGAGUUGGUAAAAAGCGCCUGAACAAGCAGAGAUGGCGAGCAAUUGCUGCUGUUCAUAGAGGAGGGAAGACCAUUGCUUCUAGAAAUUCUUACAAGGACAAAGGUGGAAGGUCAUCUCACAAUUCCAAAAUUCAAAAACAAUUAAGCUCCCGGUAGUGCACAUGGAAGAAUUCAGCAGCAUGUAGGGGCUGGAGGAAGUCUGAGGAACGAAUGAGGAAAGAGAUGGAAAGAUUUGAUCGUGAAAGAAGGAAGGAAGAAGAAAGGUUGAUGUGUGAACAGCAGAGAGAGGGAGGAGAGAUUGCUACGUGAGCAAAGGCGAGAAUCAGAGCGACGGGAGAAGUAUUUACAGAAAGAAUCCAUUAAGGCAGAGAAAAAGAGACAAAAAGAAGAGCUUUGUCGAGAAAAAGAAGCAGAGAGAUGGAAAGCUGCAGUGGAGAAGGCCGCUGCUCGCAGAAUUGCCAAGGAAUCCAUGGAGCUUAUGGAGGAUGAACAGCUGGAGCUGAUGGAAUUGGCCGCUGCAAGCAAGGGGUUGCAUUCAAUUGUUAAUCUGAAACAUUUAGAAGUGAGGAUCUGGUUUAUAUUUCAUUGCACUUGAAUUUGCUUCAUGCUGUCAUUUUGUAGUAAAGGAGCUGAUUUUGACAUCUUGAAAUUAUAGCCAAUAGAUGCAUAAAUAUGUAUCUCUUGUUACUGUUUCUUGUUUCGGUAGUUACACGGGAAAAAAAAGAUUUCUGGUU